UUUGCCUCGGGUAGAUUACUUGUGUGCACAUACCCAUAACGUAGGAAACUAGGACAGCUUCUGUCAUCUUUUAGAUUUUCUCUCAUUUCCCAACUAGAAAGCGGCAGGGAUUCUAGCUUGGUACAUGUCUUGUAUGGUACUGGACCAUACAUUUUUUAGACUUGUACGAUUCGAUUGUGAUCCUCUAGACCAUGAUUUAAAAGGAAAAAGAAGGAAAAAGAAGGAAAAAGAAAAUUCCAUUAGCAUGGUACCAACACUAUGCCUGAUCUCAUGUGACAUCAAAAUACUGCAACACCCACUUAAUUACUUGUGCAGAGGACGAGACGAAAUGAUGGGUGUAGAGGAGGUGAUGACGGCCAUUUAAGCGAUUCAACUGGAACCCACUUGCUUAAACUGAAUGUGCCAUGCUAUACAUGAAAAGAUUUCUCAAUACCAAGUGUUUAUUGUAUGUCAAUAAUGAUUCACAUUUGUGCUCCCUAUGGCUAUGAUCGAAUUGGACAAAAUCUUUCACUUGGAUCCAAUAUAUCCUAGCACGUAAGUUUUGGGCCAUUCAUUUUAUCUUAACGUUUAGAAGAAGUUCUCUGUGAAACCCGUGAUCAAUUAAAGGAUGAAAAUGUCACGUAUUGCUAGUACUAGUUGUAUAGCAUGUCAGGCUCCCUAAAUACUUGCUGCAGCUUCUUGUACAUUAACGUUUUUUAUCAGUUAAACCAGCAAUCAGCUUCCUGCAUUAAAAGAAAAGGUUGCAUGUGAACGUAGUUGGCAUGUUGACAAAAGUCUACCGCAUAGAAACUCACCAAUUAUCACCCCCUGUUUAUGCAUUAGAGUUGCAGGCUAGCUCAAUAAAAUCUUAUUGGAAUUUUCACCAGUUACCCAUUUAUCGUCCCAGUUUGUGCAUUAGAAUUGCAGGCUAGCUCAGGAAAACCUUGACGCGCUCCACGUCCUCGUACCAGCGACCAAGUAAAUGGGUAUAAUGCCAUGGUGAAAUUUGAAGAGCAAUUCAUGUGCAAAUAAUGGAAAAACCUUGUUUAUGUUUCACAUACCCCAGAUAGGAGUAUUUCCAUAAUCUUGACAUGUUUGUACCUUAACACCUGACAUUUGUUUAGACUUUCAUAUGUCAGCAUAAACUAUUAUCUCCCAUUAUGCAAUUUAUCACAGCAAAAGAAUGUAAAAGAAAUGCCAUUUGGUUAUGGGGUAUGAAUUGAGAUUUGUGGCAACAUGAAAUAAAGAUCAUGAGAAUGAGAAACU
Molecule: long non-coding RNA, 1245 nt
Organism: Ricinus communis (castor bean)
Lineage: Eukaryota; Viridiplantae; Streptophyta; Magnoliopsida; Malpighiales; Euphorbiaceae
Exons: 2
Source: RefSeq, a predicted model, not a curated record